Molecule: long non-coding RNA, 522 nt
Organism: Gallus gallus (chicken)
Lineage: Eukaryota; Metazoa; Chordata; Aves; Galliformes; Phasianidae
Exons: 2
Source: RefSeq, a predicted model, not a curated record
ACCGACAAACCAUCUUUGCAGGAGGCAGUGGGAUUGGAGGUGGGUUUUUCCUAUUUUUUUUUUCCUAUUUUUUUUCCCUUUUUUUUUUUUUUUUUCCCUUUUUUUCCCUCCCACCCCCCAAGAAACUCAGGAUGCACAGACUUCUGGCCAAGGCAUUGCAAGAAUAUACCAAAAAUAGAAAGAAAGAAACUGUCUGGAGAAGGAGACAGGACUGUGGAUUCUCCUGGAUUGAUUUUCACCAUGCGUUUCAACACCCUGAGCCUAGGAACUAAAGCUUUUCCUGGUGCAGUUCAGCUGCCCUGGGUGGAUUUACUGCACAGCCAACGCGAUGCAAAGAGGCUGACUCGAGGCACAGAGCAAGAGAUGGACAAUGUGGGGCUGCUGCUGGUGGAGAGGGUUCAGGCACCGUGCUGGGGAAGUCAGAGGACGUGCAAGACCUGCGAUCCAUAGUGUAGCACUAAGCAAUGGCACCAGAGGGCUUGACUUGCAGAUGGGCUCUUGGGCACUAAAUGUUGAAUUGCA